RNAcentral lists this ribosomal RNA (446 nucleotides) under uncultured bacterium. RNAcentral describes it as "partial 16S ribosomal RNA". It matches the Rfam family "Bacterial small subunit ribosomal RNA", at positions 338 to 795 of the family's 1533-position model. The record is from RNAcentral.
CCUACGGGUGGCUGCAGUCGAGAAUCAUUCACAAUGGGGGAAACCCUGAUGGUGCGACGCCGCGUGGGGGAAUGAAGGUCUUCGGAUUGUAAACUCCUUUUAUGUGGGAGCAAAUUAAAAAGAUAGUACCACAAGACGAAGAGACGGCUAACUAUGUGCCAGCAUUCGCGGUAAUACAGAGGUCUCAAGCGUUGUUCGGAAUAACUGGGCGUAAAGCGUGCGUAGGCUGUUUCGUAAGUCGUGUGUGAAAAGCGCGGGCGCAACCGGCGGACGGCACGUGAUACUGAGAGACUAGAGUAAUGGAGGGGUAACCGGAAUUCUCGGUGUAGCAGUGAAAUGCGUAGAUAUCGAGAGGAACACUCGUGGCGAAGGCGGGUUCCUGGACAUUAACUGACGCUGAGGCACGAAGGCCAGGGGAGCGAAAGGGAUUAGAUACCCUAGUAGUC